RNAcentral lists this transfer RNA (77 nucleotides) under Gammaproteobacteria bacterium. RNAcentral's name for it is "tRNA-Met". It matches the Rfam family "tRNA". Rfam says of the family: Transfer RNA (tRNA) molecules are approximately 80 nucleotides in length. Their secondary structure includes four short double-helical elements and three loops (D, anti-codon, and T loops). The record is from RNAcentral. RNAcentral also lists the same sequence under 1 other name. Lineage: Bacteria; Pseudomonadati; Pseudomonadota; Gammaproteobacteria.
UGCGGGGUGGAGCAGUCUGGUAGCUCGACGGGCUCAUAACCCGGAGGUCGUAGGUUCAAAUCCUGCCCCCGCUACCA